CAGAAAUUCACUGUUUUUAACGGAUUACUUUGCAGGCCACAUAGUACACAUCUACAGCUGGACCUGAGUCCAGGAACAAAACCAACAGCCCACAGCAGGAAGGGCGGCAAGGAGGGGCUCCUGAGGCCACAGCCCCCGCUGCUGCCGGCGGACAUCUUCACCCCCUAGGACUCCUGUGUCCCCUUGGUACCGGCUCUGGGGGUGAUGGUCACAAACAGGCACAUCUGCUCCCAAACCAUGGUGCAGAAGGGCUCCAGUGCUGGGUCUGAAGAGGAACCGGGAUUUCGUGCAGAAGCAGGCAGAACUGGAUGCGCUGCGUUUUAUCUGGCAACACCAUGGGAGAGCCAGGGGGGCUGGGCUGAGUUCUCUAACCCCGUGAGGACCAGCACGCCGGGAGGCUCCGCAGAGAGAAUGAAAGCAAAGCCGAAGACGCAAUCUGAAAUCCUGGCUUCCCCAGGAAAAGCCAGUGCCAGAUCAGAGGAGGGGAAGGUUACUCACCACCCCGGGGCAACCGUUUUCUGUAGUAGCUACUAACGAGGAGAAAAGAAAAUCAUCACAGUCAAAGCAAGUUCAACAAAAACAGCAUUUUGCUGCUAACUUGCUCCAAGAAAACCUAAAAUCUUCAACUGGCUCAUUCGUCCUCCAGUACCUCUGAUGAAAAGGUAGACAGACUUUUCCACUAAUUAUUUCAGCCACUGUGAAAAUAUGAAAGCUGACCUGGGAGAGAAGAUACAUAAUAAAAACAAACAAAAAACCUCACGGCCAGCGCUGACUUUGUCAAGAAGAGGGACUCUGGACACACAAGGGGCACCUGGGGGUGCAUGCGCACAGAGGGAUGAUCACAGGAAGACACAGCAAGAAGGCAGCCACGUGCACGCCAGGGAGCGAGACCUCAGGAGGACCCAGCCCUGCCACACCUUGAUCUUGGACAAACAGCCUCCAGGACUGUGAGACCAUCAAUGUCUGUCGUCUAGACUGCCAGUUCUGUGGUGCUCUGUGAUGGCAGCCUGAGCUGACUCCUCCAGUCCCCAGGACCCUCCUGAUAGGUUUGUGAAACAGAUGCAUGGAACAAACAGAUUUCUGAAAAGAACCUCCAUCUAUCCAGGUUUCCUGGGAUUUCCCUAAUCACCAUCAAACAAACACUCUGUUACCAGCCCUGCUGGCAUCUCUGGAUGAACUCAAGAAACGGGAUCCUGCCUCUGAGUUUCCGCCCUCCACUGGUGUCACCGUCUCCUGUCCUGAGUUUCUCUCCCCGUUCAGCCAAAUCCUUCCCUUUCAGACUCGCUCUACCCCAGGUCAGAACCAACUGCCUAUGGUACACAAGCUCCCCUUCCUCUCACCUCAGAGGGCCUGGAGUCCACGCCUAAUUCCACAUCUAAUUCCUUCCUAAGCUGUGCCUCCUGACUCCAGCUCUGAGAACUAAUUCCAUUACACAUACACCCUCCAACCCUCCUCUGGACACAUACAUUUGUGAAAUGUAACUGGAUAGAACAAAAACACACAGGUCAUUUUGCUGCUGAAUUUUUAAGAGGGCUUUAUAUGGCAGUGUCUCAGAGAAAGGGGUAAACGCAGCAUUUCCCAAGUGCACUUGCCCCAGACAUUCUUUUCCCCUGGGGCUCAUAAACAAUCUCCCACAACAGGAAGAGAAGCUAUGGUCUGAGUUGCCCAUAGUCCCUUCCUUGCUACACUCAAGAUCUUAGAAGCAAAAGCCAAUCACAUACCUACAAUGCAUGGCCCACUGAGGCCAGCACCCUGCCAAGUAUUAUCGCCUGAAAGAGGGAUAGCAUUAGGAGAUAUACCUAAUGUAAAUGACGAGUUAA
This 1820-nucleotide long non-coding RNA is filed under the name Homo sapiens (human). RNAcentral describes it as "HSALNT0177817". The record is from RNAcentral. Lineage: Eukaryota; Metazoa; Chordata; Mammalia; Primates; Hominidae.